GGGUUGUGAGGUUAAGCGAAUAAGCGUACACGGUGGAUGCCUAGGCAAUCAGAGGCGAUGAAGGACGUGCUAAUCUGCGAUAAGCGUCGGUAAGGUGAUAUGAACCGUUAUACCCGACGAUUUCCGAAUGGGGAAACCCAAUAUCCAAUGGAUAUUAUCAUGACGUGAAUACAUAGCGUCAUGAAGCGAACCGGGAGAACUGAAACAUCUCAGUACCCCGAGGAAAAGAAAUCAACCGAGAUUCCCCUAGUAGCGGCGAGCGAACGGGGAACAGCCCAGAGUCUUAAUCAAUAGCAGCGUCAGGAGAACGGUCUGGAAAGUCCGGCAGUAAAGGGUGAUAGCCCCGUAUCUGAAGAUGCUGUUAUUGUGAACUCGACGAGUAGGGCGGGACACGUGUUAUCCUGUCUGAAUAUGGGGGGACCAUCCUCCAAGGCUAAAUACUCCUGAUUGACCGAUAGUGAACCAGUACCGUGAGGGAAAGGCGAAAAGAACCCCGGCGAGGGGAGUGAAAAAGAACCUGAAACCGUGUACGUACAAGCAGUAGGAGCCCCAUCACUCAAGUGCCUCGCACUGAGUGAUUGGACAAACCACUCGAAAACAGCGCAGCGUUUACCUACAAAGUGGAUUGAUUUUUUCAAGCCGUCGCGCAGUGUACAUAGAAGUACACGAGCAACGGAAGUUAAAAAAUCGAGCCAGUUUGACAGUAAAAGCAAGCGGGACAUUUGAGGAUGGGGUGACUGCGUACCUUUUGUAUAAUGGGUCAGCGACUUAUAUUCUGUAGCAAGGUUAACCGUAUAGGGGAGCCGUAGGGAAACCGAGUCUUAACUGGGCGAAUAAGUUGCAGGGUAUAGACCCGAAACCCGGUGAUCUAUCCAUGGGCAGGUUGAAGGUUGGGUAACACUAACUGGAGGACCGAACCGACUAAUGUUGAAAAAUUAGCGGAUGACUUGUGGAUGGGGGUGAAAGGCCAAUCAAACCGGGAGAUAGCUGGUUCUCCCCGAAAGCUAUUUAGGUAGCGCCUCGUGAACUCAUCUUCGGGGGUAGAGCACUGUUUCGACUAGGGGGUCAUCCCGACUUACCAACUCGAUGCAAACUGCGAAUACCGAAGAAUGUUAUCACGGGAGACACACGGCGGGUGCUAACGUCCGUCGUGAAGAGGGAAACAACCCAGACCGCCAGCUAAGGUCCCAAAGUCAUGGUUAAGUGGGAAACGAAGUGGGAAGGCUCAGACAGCCAGGAUGUUGGCUUAGAAGCAGCCAUCAUUUAAAGAAAGCGUAAUAGCUCACUGGUCGAGUCGGCCCGCGCGGAAGAUGUAACGGGGCUAAACCAUGCACCGAAGCUGCGGCAGCGACACUUAUGUGUUGUUGGGUAGGGGAGCGUUCUGUAAGCCUGCGAAGGUGUGCUGUGAGGCAUGCUGGAGGUAUCAGAAGUGCGAAUGCUGACAUAAGUAACGAUAAUGCGGGUGAAAAACCCGCACGCCGGAAGACCAAGGGUUCCUGUCCAACGUUAAUCGGGGCAGGGUGAGUCGACCCCUAAGGCGAGGCUGAAAAGCGUAGUCGAUGGGAAACGGGUUAAUAUUCCCGUACUGGUGGUAACUGCGAUGGGGGAACGGAGAAGGCUAGGUUGUCCGGGCGACGGUCGUCCCGGUUCAAGCAUGUAGGCAGAGUGAUUAGGCAAAUCCGGUCACUUAAUGCUGAGGUGUGAUGACGAGCCACUAAGGUGGUGAAGCAAUUGAUGCCCUGCUUCCAGGAAAAGCCUCUAAGCUUCAGGUUACCAACAAUCGUACCCCCAAACCGACACAGGUGGUCAGGUAGAGAAUACUCAGGCGCUUGAGAGAACUCGGGUGAAGGAACUAGGCAAAAAUGGUGCCGUAACUUCGGGAGAAGGCACGCUGGCGGUAAGUGAAGUCCCUUGCGGACGGAGCCGAAGCCAGUCGAAGAUACCAGCUGGCUGCAACUGUUUAUUAAAAACACAGCACUGUGCAAACACGAAAGUGGACGUAUACGGUGUGACGCCUGCCCGGUGCUGGAAGGUUAAUUGAUGGGGUUAUCCUUAGGGAGAAGCUCUUGAUCGAAGCCCCAGUAAACGGCGGCCGUAACUAUAACGGUCCUAAGGUAGCGAAAUUCCUUGUCGGGUAAGUUCCGACCUGCACGAAUGGCGUAAUGAUGGCCAGGCUGUCUCCACCCGAGACUCAGUGAAAUUGAACUCGCUGUGAAGAUGCAGUGUACCCGCGGCAAGACGGAAAGACCCCGUGAACCUUUACUAUAGCUUGACACUGAACAUUGAGCCUUGAUGUGUAGGAUAGGUGGGAGACUAUGAAGUGUGGACGCCAGUCUGCAUGGAGUCAACCUUGAAAUACCACCCUUUAACGUUUGAUGUUCUAACCUAGGUCCAUAAUCUGGAUCGGGGACCGUGUCUGGUGGGUAGUUUGACUGGGGCGGUCUCCUCCUAAAGAGUAACGGAGGAGCACGAAGGUUGGCUAAGCAUGGUCGGACAUCAUGCGGUUAGUGCAAAGGCAUAAGCCAGCUUGACUGUGAGAGUGACGGCUCGAGCAGGUACGAAAGUAGGUCUUAGUGAUCCGGUGGUUCUGAAUGGAAGGGCCAUCGCUCAACGGAUAAAAGGUACUCCGGGGAUAACAGGCUGAUACCGCCCAAGAGUUCAUAUCGACGGCGGUGUUUGGCACCUCGAUGUCGGCUCAUCACAUCCUGGGGCUGAAGUAGGUCCCAAGGGUAUGGCUGUUCGCCAUUUAAAGUGGUACGCGAGCUGGGUUUAGAACGUCGUGAGACAGUUCGGUCCCCUAUCUCGCCGUGGGCGUUGGAAGAUUGAGAGGGGUUGCUCCUAGUACGAGAGGACCGGAGUGAACGCACCACUGGUGUUCGGGUUGUCAUGCCAAUGGCAUUGCCCGGUAGCUAAGUGCGGAAGAGAUAACCGCUGAAAGCAUCUAAGCGGGAAACUUGCCUCGAGAUGAGUCUUCCCUGUCACCUUGAGUGACCUAAAGGAACGUUUAAGACUAAGACGUUGAUAGGCUGGGUGUGUAAGCGUAGCGAUACGUUGAGCUAACCAGUACUAAUGAACCGUGAGGCUUAACCUGACAACACCGAAGGUGUUU
This 3109-nucleotide ribosomal RNA is filed under the name Proteus sp. ZN5. Its description in RNAcentral is "23S ribosomal RNA". It matches the Rfam family "Bacterial large subunit ribosomal RNA". The record is from RNAcentral. Lineage: Bacteria; Pseudomonadati; Pseudomonadota; Gammaproteobacteria; Enterobacterales; Morganellaceae.